RNAcentral lists this long non-coding RNA (217 nucleotides) under Jatropha curcas. RNAcentral describes it as "long non-coding RNA (JCUR_LNC000182)". Lineage: Eukaryota; Viridiplantae; Streptophyta; Magnoliopsida; Malpighiales; Euphorbiaceae. The record is from RNAcentral.
AGGGGUGCUGGAGACGAGGUGAUUGGCCGGCUAUGGGCUGGUGUCGCCGGAAAAUCGAGGAGAAGGCUGCGACGCGACUUCCCGAUCGAGGCAAAGUCACAGCUCCUCCUGCGACACUGCGUUCACCAGAAACGAAAGAAGAGAGGAAAGGAGAGGCCGGAGACGCACGGUGAGGAGGCGACGGCGGCAGGGAGUGGUGGCGGAGGCGCUGGUCUUC